This 71-nucleotide transfer RNA is filed under the name Loxodonta africana (African savanna elephant). It matches the Rfam family "tRNA". Rfam says of the family: Transfer RNA (tRNA) molecules are approximately 80 nucleotides in length. The record is from Rfam by way of RNAcentral. Lineage: Eukaryota; Metazoa; Chordata; Mammalia; Proboscidea; Elephantidae.
UGAUUGGUGAUUCAGUGGUAGAAUUCUCGCCUUUCGUGCCAGAGGCCCGGGUUCGAUUCCCGGCCAAUGUA